RNAcentral lists this ribosomal RNA (850 nucleotides) under uncultured bacterium. Its description in RNAcentral is "bacterial SSU rRNA". It matches the Rfam family "Bacterial small subunit ribosomal RNA", at positions 53 to 881 of the family's 1533-position model. The record is from RNAcentral.
ACCUGCAGUCGAGCGAGGCCAGGGGGGCAACUCCCUGAGUCGAGCGGCGGACGGGUGAGUAACACGUGGGUAACCUACCCGGAAGUGGGGAAUACCUCGGGGAAACUCGAGCUAAUACCGCAUGACAUCUUCGGGACGAAAGUCCUGACGAUCAAAGCGGGGUCGCAAGAUCUCGCGCUACCGGAUGGGCCCGCGCCCGAUUAGCUAGUUGGUGAGGUAACGGCUCACCAAGGCGACGAUCGGUAACCGGCCUGAGAGGGCGAUCGGUCACACCGGAACUGAGACACGGUCCGGACUCCUACGGGAGGCAGCAGUGGGGAAUCUUGCGCAAUGGGCGAAAGCCUGACGCAGCAACGCCGCGUGGAGGAUGAAGGCCCUUGGGUUGUAAACUCCUGUCGGCUGGGAAGAAGUUGUUCGCGACUAAUACUCGCGGACAUUGACUGUACCAGCAAAGGAAGCCCCGGCUAACUCUGUGCCAGCAGCCGCGGUAAUACAGAGGGGGCCAGCGUUAUUCGGAAUUAUUGGGCGUAAAGGGCGCGUAGGCGGCCAUGCGUGUCUUCCGUGAAAUCCCUCGGCUUAACCGAGGACGUGCGGAAGAAACUGCAAGGCUCGAGUCCGGAAGAGGGGGGCGGAAUUCCCAGUGUAGCGGUGAAAUGCGUAGAUAUUGGGAGGAACACCAGUGGCGAAGGCGGUCCCCUGGGCCGGAACUGACGCUGAGGCGCGAAAGCGUGGGUAGCAAACGGGAUUAGAUACCCCGGUAGUCCACGCCGUAAACGAUGGGCACUUGGUGUCGCGGGUAUCGACCCCUGCGGUGCCGAAGCUAACGCAUUAAGUGCCCCGCCUGGGGAGU